GAAGGUAUAGCUUAGGAGCAGAGCACAUGCCUGGCAUGCAUGAGUUCCUGGGUUCAAUCCCAAGUACUUCCA
This 72-nucleotide transfer RNA is filed under the name Camelus bactrianus (Bactrian camel). It matches the Rfam family "tRNA". Rfam says of the family: Transfer RNA (tRNA) molecules are approximately 80 nucleotides in length. Their secondary structure includes four short double-helical elements and three loops (D, anti-codon, and T loops). Further hydrogen bonds mediate the characteristic L-shaped molecular structure. tRNAs have two regions of fundamental functional importance: the anti-codon, which is responsible for specific mRNA codon recognition, and the 3' end, to which the tRNAs corresponding amino acid is attached (by aminoacyl-tRNA synthetases). tRNAs cope with the degeneracy of the genetic code in two manners: having more than one tRNA (with a specific anti-codon) for a particular amino acid; and 'wobble' base-pairing, i.e. permitting non-standard base-pairing at the 3rd anti-codon position. The record is from Rfam by way of RNAcentral. Lineage: Eukaryota; Metazoa; Chordata; Mammalia; Artiodactyla; Camelidae. RNAcentral also lists the same sequence under 1 other name.